This 324-nucleotide unclassified non-coding RNA is filed under the name soil metagenome. RNAcentral describes it as "partial contains 5.8S ribosomal RNA, internal transcribed spacer 2, and large subunit ribosomal RNA". The stretch from base 1 to 120 matches the Rfam family "5.8S ribosomal RNA", at positions 35 to 154 of the family's 154-position model. The record is from RNAcentral.
GAUGAAGAACGCAGCGAAAUGCGAUAAGUAGUGUGAAUUGCAGAAUUCAGUGAAUCAUCGAAUCUUUGAACGCACAUUGCGCCCCUUGGUAUUCCACGGGGCAUGCCUGUUCGAGCGUCAUUUGUACCUUCAAGCUUUGCUUGGUGUUGGGUGUUUGUCCCUCGGGACUCGCCUUAAAGUCAUUGGCAGCCAGUGUUUUGGUUUUGAAGCGCAGCACAAGUCGCGAUUCAAGGCUAUCCGCCCGCUUCCACAAGCCUUUUUCACUUUUGACCUCGGAUCAGGUAGGGAUACCCGCUGAACUUAAGCAUAUCAAUAAGCGGAGGA